UACGAGGGGGGCGAGCGUUGUUCGGAAUUAUUGGGCGUAAAGAGCUCGUAGGCGGUUCGUCACGUCGGCUGUGAAAUCCCGAGGCUCAACCUCGGGUCUGCAGUCGAUACGGGCGGACUUGAGUACUGCAGGGGAGACUGGAAUUCCUGGUGUAGCGGUGAAAUGCGCAGAUAUCAGGAGGAACACCGGUGGCGAAGGCGGGUCUCUGGGCAGUAACUGACGCUGAGGAGCGAAAGCGUGGGGAGCGAACAGG
Molecule: ribosomal RNA, 253 nt
Filed under: uncultured bacterium
Lineage: Bacteria
Description: partial 16S ribosomal RNA
Rfam family: Bacterial small subunit ribosomal RNA
Source: RNAcentral